This 30-nucleotide small RNA is filed under the name Bombyx mori (domestic silkworm). RNAcentral describes it as "ovarian small RNA-34499". Lineage: Eukaryota; Metazoa; Arthropoda; Insecta; Lepidoptera; Bombycidae. The record is from RNAcentral.
UGGAAUGGUAGCACCCUACAAGGGCAAUAA